AGAAAGAGUUAGAAAACAAAUAAAAUUUGGGAAAAAAGGUAAAUUUUAUUAUUAUUAAAAAUACAUUAUAAAUAUAAAAAAAUAAAGAUAGAAUUAGAUUUAUUGUAUUUUGUUUAGAAUCUUUUUAAUAUGAGUAACAAGCAAGUAAAAACACAAUUUAGAAGCCGAAUAAAAUCAGGAAAAAACAAGGUAAAUUAUUAUUAUUAAAAAUGUAUUAUAAAAAAAAAUUUAAAGAUAUAUAUGUAGAAUUAGAUUUAUUAUAUUUUGUGUGGAUUUUUUUUAAUAUGUAUUAAAAAAAAAAAAAAAAAAAAAAAAGACAUGCUCAAAUUAGGAUAACUAUUCAUGCCAUCUAAAGUGAAGGGUAGAAAGGUCAAUUGACUGGCAAAUAGUGGUAGUUGAAAGGUUCGUGUUCAAUCCCGAUUGGUAGAACAGUAAAUUUCUGCGAAGUUUGUGGCAAUCCUUGAACACCACGCUUGAACCCCCUAUAUAUAGACAUCCGCUCCGCCUUACGAGUAUUGCAACACAAUCUCACCCAGUUUUCUGUCGCUUAACAGAGACGCAGAUUAUUUCUCGCCCCUCGCCCUUUCUCUCUCCUCUUUCUCUCUCUAUAUAUCUGGUGGUUCUACCAUCUCUGAUAUUGGUCGAAAAGGUCCAAUCUAGGGUUUUUUUCGGUUCGUUGCUCUGCUACCUGGCUUCAUUGAUCGAAGGUUCAAAAAGGGACCAAGAACAGUUUUUAUCUCAGAGAUUUAGUAUUGUAUAUCAAGAAUUUAUAUCU
Long non-coding RNA from Cornus florida, 775 nucleotides. RefSeq lists it as uncharacterized. The transcript has 2 exons. The record is from RefSeq and is a predicted model, not a curated record. Lineage: Eukaryota; Viridiplantae; Streptophyta; Magnoliopsida; Cornales; Cornaceae.